GGGAUCAUUACAGGACUCGCAAGGCUCCCGUAAACCACUGUGAACUUACCUACAACCCGUUGCCUCGGCGGGUGCUCCGGGCGCGUCUUCGGGCGCUCCGGGGCGCUCCAGCCCGCCGGCGGCCCCUAAACUCUGUCUCUGUAACGUUGGCAUCUCCGAGCAGACUAUAAACGAGUCAAAACUUUCAACAACGGAUCUCUUGGUUCUGGCAUCGAUGAAGAACGCAGCGAAAUGCGAUAAGUAAUGUGAAUUGCAGAAUUCAGUGAAUCAUCGAAUCUUUGAACGCACAUUGCGCCCGCCAGCACUCUGGCGGGCAUGCCUGUCCGAGCGUCAUUUCAACCCUCAGGCCCCGCCUGGCGUUGGAGCCCUGCGCAGCGCAGGCUCCCAAAGACAGCGGCGGGCGCGCCCCGGAACCGAGCGCAGUAAUGCUUUCCCGUUCUGGUCCGGCGCGCGCUCCGGCCGUAAAACCCCCAACUUUCUAAGUGGUUGACCUCGGAUCAGGUAGGAAUACCCGCUGAACUUAAGCAUAUCGAUAAGCGGAGGAA
This 545-nucleotide ribosomal RNA is filed under the name uncultured Ascomycota. RNAcentral's name for it is "eukaryotic LSU rRNA". The stretch from base 180 to 333 matches the Rfam family "5.8S ribosomal RNA". The record is from RNAcentral. Lineage: Eukaryota; Fungi; Ascomycota.